UUACCAGGAUUGGCCAGUAUGCAUCUUCUCCCUCCCACUGAUGCUGCUUUUCUAUUGGAUAGAUCCCUCAGCUGUCCGGCCCCCUUGCCUGAGGCGUCGCUGAUUGGCGGAUCUAACGGACAGCCCGAGAGCGGCUACGUGCAACUGUGUUGGUGGCGACAGUCCUAGUCACCAGUGGUGCGGCAGGCUCCGUGCCAGGUACAGGUGACACAAGGCCUCUUCCUGCUGCCGGCCUAGCCUGGAACUUGCGGCAGUCCUCCUGCCUCAACCUUCCUAGAAUGGGAAGGCUAAUCCUACAAGUUUUCUUAGGAUCAUUACCUUAAAUUGCCUUUCUGAAUGCCUGGGUACCCCUUACCCUACAUUCAAAUCCCGGCGUGGUAUUUGCUAACCAGUUGACUCUAUUCAUCAUUGCGAUUUGUUUCCUCUUUUAAAAAUAGAGCGAGGACAAAAGUUGUUAAUCUUGAAAUGAAGAUAGGAGUGCAAACGGAAGAUCUAGAACAAUGACUACCGUUGGCCCUCAGAUAUUAAUCUAAAUACACUUCCACACUGAGAGGUGCCAGGAUUCCUGGAGAAAUGACUGAAUCCAGGUCAAAGCUGGGAAUGAAAAAUAUCUCUUGGAAGAACAAUGAUCCAAAAAGGGAGAAUCCCAAGACAAACAAGGUCCUUCCUAAAAGACCAGUCACUAGACAAAGUGAGAACAACUUGAACAUCAGGACAACUGGGAACUAUAAAAUGAUCGCGAGCACUAAAUGCCCCAUUCUAGAAGUAAAUCAAAUUAAAACAGAAAAGAGAAACAUAUGGCCACACUAUCUGCGGUGAAUACCUCAUCACUUUUAAAAAGUGAUGAUUUAAGAAAAUGAGGGUUGUUCAGCCUUAGCAAUCAUCUUCCUUGAAACUCCCGCACCAGGAAAGCGAAGUGGCUGAAGAAGCAAACACGCAGACUGAAACGCAAGAGAAGAAAGAUGAGGCAGAGGUCCAAGUAAACCAAGCUUGUGCACCCACGAAGCCUGCAGGAGCGGAAGUAGGAGGUGCUGAAGGCCGAGACACUGUCCAAGUUGUUGGACUGUAUGCUGUUAUGGCUAAUAAAUCUCAGUGGAUCUGGGACACCAUCUUGCUGAGAUCACCUGGGAAACUGACUGCCAUUUUUACAUCCAAACUGCUGGCCCUCUGCUCUGGACCUUUGGCAUUCUGGACUAGUUCUGUUCUCACUUGUGGCCAAGUGUAAUGUAACUCGUGUACAAUAAAUAGAUCCUCUUGUCAGCGGAUAAAUAAAAAAACAAAGAAAGAAAAGAGAGAAAAUGAGCAUUUAUUUUUCUACCUUUCUAGUACCAGCUGUAUUUUUUGAAAACCAAAUAGCAUUAGCUGAUGAGGAAUCAAUUCUUUGUAUAAAAAAAAAAAAGUAGUAUACUGGUUAAAGGGAUAGGGAUACUGGGGUUAGAACAUAUGUCUCUGAUCAACAAACGUUCCUGUCAGCAGUAUCAGGCCACAGGGAUGUUCCUAGGGUAUUAGUUAUCCCCUGGGGAUCACUGCUAGUAAUUGGACAGGGAGACCAGAACUAUUUGGGAAACCUGAUCUCUCUUUCCUGAUAGCCAGUCUAUCUGGUUACCAGUAAAAGUAGCUUGACACAGUCUUCUGAUAGGAAGCAACAUGAAGCCAGGCAUUGUGGACUGCAUCUUUAAUACCAGCACUGAGAAGGCAGAGGCAGGCAGAUCUCUGUGAGUUCAAGGCCCACCUGGCCUAUAAAGCGAGUUCCAAAAUAGCCAGGGCUAUUAUACAGAGAAACCCUGUUUUGAAAAACAACAGCAACAAUAAUCAACAUGAAACCCCUGCACCUGUGAACUACAAUUUACAAAGGUCUUUAAACUCAAAAUAAGCCUUUUAUAUCACCCUGUUCCAGAAACCAUUCACAUAGAAGAACAAAUGUCAAUAGAAGGAAUCAAUGAAGAACACCUGGAACAUCUCUCUUACAUUGUUGUGAUUAAAAGUAAAAGAGUUCUGAUGUCACAUAGAUAAAAGGAGGGUGAUGACUGAAAAGAGUACUCUAAGAGAAACCCACCCAGCGAACACAUUCCCAAGGUGUUGCGUCAUGAAACGUGUCAGUCAGAUAAUCAGGCCGGAUCCAGUCAGUCUUGCUGUACAGAAUAAUGAGACGUCAUCUGGAGAGGAUGAAGCGGUUGCCGUGACUACAAGAGACAGACUUUUCCAGGCUGCUUUAGGAGAGGACCACAAUAUAUCUGUUCUAGAACCCGCUGCCAACCUUCACAGUUCCUUCCAGAAGGUUCUGAAAGAACCAUUUAGCACUCUGUAUGUCAUUUCCUGUAGCCUUUGUGCUACAAAACAAACUAGGGCAAUAUUGUCAGACCGAGACAGACGUACCAGGAUUGAUGACUGUUACGGCCAGGUCUCUCAGAACAUAAAGAAAUCUAUCUAUUUCUUAGCUCCAUGUUUAUGGUAUUCGCAACACUUUAAAUUCAGUUGUCCACAAUGAGACCAGUUACACUGUUUGAAAACUUCAAAAGUUAACAGGAAAUCAACUGAAAUUAAAAUAUUAAUAAAUGAAAAA
Rattus norvegicus (Norway rat) is the source of this 2563-nucleotide non-coding RNA. The record is from RefSeq and is a predicted model, not a curated record. Lineage: Eukaryota; Metazoa; Chordata; Mammalia; Rodentia; Muridae.